Molecule: ribosomal RNA, 695 nt
Filed under: uncultured bacterium
Lineage: Bacteria
Description: bacterial SSU rRNA
Rfam family: Bacterial small subunit ribosomal RNA
Source: RNAcentral
AACGCUAGCUACAGGCUUAACACAUGCAAGUCGAGGGGCAGCAUGAACUUAGCUUGCUAAGUUUGAUGGCGACCGGCGCACGGGUGAGUAACGCGUAUGCAACUUACCUAUCAGAGGAGAAUAGCUCAUCGAAAGAUGAAUUAAUGCUCCAUAAAACAGGGGUCCCGCAUGGGAAUAUUUGUUAAAGAUUCAUCGCUGAUAGAUAGGCAUGCGUUCCAUUAGGCAGUUGGCGGGGUAACAGCCCACCAAACCGACGAUGGAUAGGGGUUCUGAGAGGAAGGUCCCCCACAUUGGUACUGAGACACGGACCAAACUCCUACGGGAGGCAGCAGUGAGGAAUAUUGGUCAAUGGGCGCGAGCCUGAACCAGCCAAGUAGCGUGCAGGAUGACGGCCCUAUGGGUUGUAAACUGCUUUUAUGCGGGGAUAAAGUUUGCCAUGUAUGGCAUUUUGCAGGUACCGCAUGAAUAAGGACCGGCUAAUUCCGUGCCAGCAGCCGCGGUAAUACGGAAGGUCCGGGCGUUAUCCGGACUUAUUGGGUUUAAAGGGAGCGUAGGCCGUCGUUUAAGCGUGUUGUGAAAUGUAGGUGCUCAACAUCUGCACUGCAGCGCGAACUGGUUUCCUUGAGUACGCACAAAGUGGGCGGAAUUCGUGGUGUAGCGGUGAAAUGCUUAGAUAUCACGAAGAACUCCGAUUG